RNAcentral lists this ribosomal RNA (398 nucleotides) under uncultured bacterium. RNAcentral describes it as "partial 16S ribosomal RNA". It matches the Rfam family "Bacterial small subunit ribosomal RNA", at positions 523 to 918 of the family's 1533-position model. The record is from RNAcentral.
AUACGUAGGGUGCGAGCGUUGUCCGGAAUUACUGGGGGUAAAGAGCUCGUAGGUGGUUUGUCGCGUCGUCUGUGAAAUUCCGGGGCUUAACUCCGGGCGUGCAGGCGAUACGGGCAUAACUUGAGUACUGUAGGGGAGACUGGAAUUCCUGGUGUAGCGGUGAAAUGCGCAGAUAUCAGGAGGAACACCGGUGGCGAAGGCGGGUCUCUGGGCAGUAACUGACGCUGAGGAGCGAAAGCAUGGGUAGCGAACAGGAUUAGAUACCCUGGUAGUCCAUGCCGUAAACGGUGGGCGCUAGGUGUAGGGGUCUUCCACGACUUCUGUGCCGUAGCUAACGCAUUAAGCGCCCCGCCUGGGGAGUACGGCCGCAAGGCUAAAACUCAAAUGAAUUGACGGGG